RNAcentral lists this ribosomal RNA (730 nucleotides) under uncultured bacterium. RNAcentral's name for it is "bacterial SSU rRNA". It matches the Rfam family "Bacterial small subunit ribosomal RNA", at positions 50 to 782 of the family's 1533-position model. The record is from RNAcentral.
UUAACAUCGAGGUCGAACGGUAACAGGUUAAGCUGACGAGUGGCGAACGGGUGAGUAAUGUAUCGGAACGUGCCCAGUCGUGGGGGAUAACUGCUCGAAAGAGCAGCUAAUACCGCAUACGACCUGAGGGUGAAAGCGGGGGAUCGCAAGACCUCGCGCGAUUGGAGCGGCCGAUAUCAGAUUAGGUAGUUGGUGAGGUAAAGGCUCACCAAGCCGACGACCUGUAGCUGGUCUGAGAGGACGACCAGCCACACUGGGACUGAGACACGGCCCAGACUCCUACGGGAGGCAGCAGUGGGGAAUUUUGGACAAUGGGCGCAAGCCUGAUCCAGCCAUGCCGCGUGCGGGAAGAAGGCCUUCGGGUUGUAAACCGCUUUUGUCAGGGAAGAAAAGGUUCUGGCUAAUACCUGGGACUCAUGACGGUACCUGAAGAAUAAGCACCGGCUAACUACGUGCCAGCAGCCGCGGUAAUACGUAAGGUGCAAGCGUUAAUCGGAAUUACUGGGCGUAAAGCGUGCGCAGGCGGUUAUGCAAGACAGAGGUGAAAUCCCCGGGCUCAACCUGGGAACUGCCUUUGUGACUGCAUGGCUAGAGUACGGUAGAGGGGGAUGGAAUUCCGCGUGUAGCAGUGAAAUGCGUAGAUAUGCGGAGGAACACCGAUGGCGAAGGCAAUCCCCUGGGCCUGUACUGACGCUCAUGCACGAAAGCGUGGGGAGCAAACAGAAUCACU